This 71-nucleotide transfer RNA is filed under the name Candidatus Jorgensenbacteria bacterium. Its description in RNAcentral is "tRNA-Glu". It matches the Rfam family "tRNA". Rfam says of the family: Transfer RNA (tRNA) molecules are approximately 80 nucleotides in length. Their secondary structure includes four short double-helical elements and three loops (D, anti-codon, and T loops). The record is from RNAcentral. Lineage: Bacteria; Candidatus Joergenseniibacteriota.
GGCCCCAUCGUCUAGUGGCAGGACAUAUCCCUCUCAUGGAUAAAACAGGAGUUCGAUCCUCCUUGGGGCUA